RNAcentral lists this ribosomal RNA (159 nucleotides) under uncultured bacterium. RNAcentral describes it as "partial 16S ribosomal RNA". It matches the Rfam family "Bacterial small subunit ribosomal RNA", at positions 355 to 509 of the family's 1533-position model. The record is from RNAcentral.
UGGGGAAUUUUGGACAAUGGGGGCAACCCUGAUCCAGCCAUUCCGCGUGAGUGAAGAAGGCCUGGUUGUAAAGCUCUUUCGGCAGGAACGAAACGGCGGGCUCUAACAUAGCCUGUCAAUGACGGUACCUGAAGAAGAAGCACCGGCUAACUACGUGCC